Molecule: ribosomal RNA, 119 nt
Organism: Cajanus cajan (pigeon pea)
Lineage: Eukaryota; Viridiplantae; Streptophyta; Magnoliopsida; Fabales; Fabaceae
Source: Rfam
AGGUGCGAUCAUAACAGCACCAAUGCACCGGAUCUCAUUAGAACUCUGCAUUUAAGCAUGCUUGGGCGAGAGUAGUACUAGGAUGGGUGACCGCCUGGGAAGUCCUCGUGUUGCAACUC